Non-coding RNA from Rattus rattus (black rat), 426 nucleotides. The record is from the annotation of a RefSeq genome assembly. NCBI's taxonomy places the organism in Eukaryota, Metazoa, Chordata, Mammalia, Rodentia, Muridae.
AUGGAAUGUAGCUGGGUCUUUCUCUUCCUCUUCUCAGUAUCUGUAGGAGUUCACUCCCAGGUCCAGCUGCAGCAGUUUGGAGCUGAGUUGGUGAAGCCUGGGUCUUCAGUGACGUUGUCCUGCAAGGCUUCUGGCUAUACUUUCACCAGCUACUAUAUAUACUGGAUAAAGCAGAGGCCUGGACAGGGCCUUGAGUGGAUUGGACGUAUUUAUCCUGAAAGUGGCAGUACAGGCUACAAUGAGAAGUUCAAGGGCAAGGCCACAUUGACAGUAGACAAAUAUUCCAGCAAAGCCUACAUGCAACUCAGAAGCCUGACACCUGAGGACACCGCGGUCUAUUACUGUGCAAGACCCCAACACUAUUUCAUGUUUAAAACAUUUACCACCUCAACUGUCUCUGCUUUCAUUUUAGUUCUAUUUUACUAA